This 460-nucleotide ribosomal RNA is filed under the name uncultured bacterium. RNAcentral's name for it is "partial 16S ribosomal RNA". It matches the Rfam family "Bacterial small subunit ribosomal RNA", at positions 338 to 795 of the family's 1533-position model. The record is from RNAcentral.
CCUACGGGUGGCUGCAGUGAGGAAUAUUGGUCAAUGGGCGCGAGCCUGAUCCAGCCAAGUAGCGUGAAGGAUGAAUGCCCUACGGGUUGUAAACCUCUUUUAUAAAGGAAUAAAGUGCGGCACGUGUGCCUUUUUGUAUGUACUUUAUGAAUAAGGAUCGGCUAACUCCGUGCCAGCAGCCGCGGUAAUACGGAGGAUCCGAGCGUUAUCCGGAUUUAUUGGGUUUAAAGGGAGCGUAGAUGGGUUGUUAAGUCAGUUGUGAAAGUUUGCGGCUCAACCGUAAAAUUGCAAUUGAUACUGGUAGUCUUGAGUGCAGUUGAGGUAGGCGGAAUUCGUGGUGUAGCGGUGAAAUGCUUAGAUAUCACGAGGAACUCCGAUUGCGAAGGCAGCUUACUAAGCUGCCACUGACAUUGAUGCUCGAAAGUGUGGGUAUCAAACAGGAUUAGAUACCCUAGUAGUC